GGGGGCGAUCGGCUUCGACGUGGGUCGCGAAACUUCAGAGGCGUACCGAGGCGCAUGGCCCUCGUUAAUCACUGUGCAAACUCUAGUUGCCAACGACGACAACUACGCUCUGGCGGCUUAAUCCCGCCUAACCUCCGACCCGCUGGUGCCUGUGCCACGGAACCGGGGGACGCGCUCACAGGAUCGCGAUGCUUCGUGCUACGGGGCGCAUCGUUAAGAGACACCGUUAGCUGGCUGAGCGUCUUCCCUGCUGCUUGGGUAGCGUGAGGCGAGAACACAAAAAGACAGCUACGUACGUAGAUUCUGAAAUGUAGGGCUUGCGGACGCGGGUUCGAUUCCCGCCGCCUCCACCA
RNAcentral lists this transfer-messenger RNA (353 nucleotides) under Nevskiaceae bacterium. It matches the Rfam family "transfer-messenger RNA". Rfam says of the family: Bacterial tmRNA, also known as 10Sa RNA or SsrA, is named for its dual tRNA and mRNA-like properties. Its role is to liberate the mRNA from a stalled ribosome. Lineage: Bacteria; Pseudomonadati; Pseudomonadota; Gammaproteobacteria; Nevskiales; Nevskiaceae. The record is from RNAcentral.